This 306-nucleotide long non-coding RNA is filed under the name Elaeis guineensis (African oil palm). Its description in RNAcentral is "long non-coding RNA (EGUI_LNC003306)". The record is from RNAcentral. Lineage: Eukaryota; Viridiplantae; Streptophyta; Magnoliopsida; Arecales; Arecaceae.
CGAUUUUGAUUCCAAACCAUUCUGAUUUUCAUUUUCAUUCCGAUUUUAGUUAAGAACCAAACACCCCCAAGACUGUUUAAUAAUUUCUUCACAGUACCGUGAUACAGACUCUUCCUCCAUUUUCAGACCUUGUCUCCAAGCUUCUUUCCUAACAUUCCAUGUCUGCACAUUGGUAGUAUCCUUGUCAUGCAGAUUCUGAGAGAAGACAAAGCAAUUAAACCCAAUAGAAGGUCAAUACAGGAUCACAUGGAUGAGUCAGCACAAUAGUAACUAAUAACAAGAGAAUUCAGCCUACUCCACAAGCCA